CCUACGGGAGGCAGCAGCUAGGAAUUUUGCGCAAUGGGCGAAAGCCUGACGCAGCAACGCCGCGUGGAGGAAGAAGGCCCUCGGGUCGUAAACUCCUUUUCUGAGGGAAGAAGAUCUGACGGUACCUCAGGAAUAAGCCACGGCUAACUACGUGCCAGCAGCCGCGGUAAUACGUAGGUGGCAAGCGUUGUCCGGAUUUACUGGGCGUAAAGCGCACGCAGGCGGUUCGUUAAGUCUGGGGUGAAAUCUCUCGGCUCAACUGGGAGGGGUCUUCAGAUACUGGCGGACUUGAGUGCAUCAGAGGAGAGUGGAAUUCCCGGUGUAGUGGUGAAAUGCGUAGAUAUCGGGAGGAACACCAGUGGCGAAGGCGGCUCUCUGGGGUGUUACUGACGCUGAGGUGCGAAAGCGUGGGGAGCGAACCGGAUUAGAUACCCCUGUA
This 439-nucleotide ribosomal RNA is filed under the name uncultured Steroidobacter sp. RNAcentral describes it as "bacterial SSU rRNA". It matches the Rfam family "Bacterial small subunit ribosomal RNA", at positions 338 to 792 of the family's 1533-position model. The record is from RNAcentral. Lineage: Bacteria; Pseudomonadati; Pseudomonadota; Gammaproteobacteria; Steroidobacterales; Steroidobacteraceae.